UACGGAGGGUGCGAGCGUUGUUCGGAAUCACUGGGCGUAAAGCGCGUGUAGGCGGCCCACUAAGUCUGAUGUGAAAGCCCGGGGCUCACCCCCGGAAGUGCAUUGGAAACUGGUGGACUCGAGUCCCGGAGAGGAGAGUGGAAUUCCUGGUGUAGCGGUGAAAUGCGUAGAUAUCAGGAGGAAUACCGAUGGCGAAGGCAGGUCUCUGGGCUGACACUGACGCUCAUGCACGAAAGCGUGGGGAGCAAACAGG
Molecule: ribosomal RNA, 253 nt
Filed under: uncultured bacterium
Lineage: Bacteria
Description: partial 16S ribosomal RNA
Rfam family: Bacterial small subunit ribosomal RNA
Source: RNAcentral